GGGGAUUUAGCUCAGUGGUAGAGCGCUUGCCUAGCAAGUGCAAGGACCUGGGUUCAGUCCCCA
This 63-nucleotide transfer RNA is filed under the name Rattus norvegicus (Norway rat). It matches the Rfam family "tRNA". Rfam says of the family: Transfer RNA (tRNA) molecules are approximately 80 nucleotides in length. The record is from Rfam by way of RNAcentral. Lineage: Eukaryota; Metazoa; Chordata; Mammalia; Rodentia; Muridae.